GGCUUCAUGGCCGAGUGGUAAGAAUAUUUGCCUCUCACGUUAGAGUCCCGGGUUCGAUCCCUGGUCGAGGAGCUA
Molecule: non-coding RNA, 75 nt
Organism: Rhamnusium bicolor
Lineage: Eukaryota; Metazoa; Arthropoda; Insecta; Coleoptera; Cerambycidae
Source: the annotation of a GenBank genome assembly